UUUCAGUGACUAGUUGAUCCAACACCAACCAUCAUUCUCAUGCACCCAAGAACCAAAUAAGCGGGAAUCGAUCAUUAUUAUCCAAAAGUCCGACCCGCUUUUCUGCCAUCUUCUCCAACGGGGAUUUGGAGGCGGCAGAAGGUGUGCGGAGCCAGAGGCCUGGCGCUUUGGAGUGUGAUCGUAGCAGCCCUGCCGGCGCAGGAAUGCAGGACUCCGACAGGAAGCGCAAGAGAGGAAAGCGGAAGCGGGAGCUCCGUCAUGACGAUCCCCCUCCUGCUGACGUCUCUCCGAAGUGCCGACGGCAAUCAUCAUCCGCAUGCCCUAAUCCUAAUGCCAAAGGAUCGUCCUCUUCUUUUCUCGAGAAGAUGAGAGCGAGGCUGUCCGGCGGUCAUUUUCGGAUGCUUAACGAGAAGUUGUACACUAGCAAUGGAAAUGAAGCAUUCGAUCUUUUCAGGAAGGACCCUGCCCUAUUUGAUGUGUAUCAUUCUGGAUAUCAAGAGCAGAUGUCUCACUGGCCAGUACAGCCUGUGGAUAGCAUAAUCAAGUGGCUUAAAGAUCACAGCUCUUCGUUGGUGGUUGCUGAUUUUGGUUGUGGAGAUGCACGCAUUGCAAAAUCUGUAAAGAAUGUUGUUUUCUCCAUUGACCUUGUCUCAAAUGAUCCGUCUAUAAUUGCUUGUGACAUGUCUAAGACACCUUUGGCUUCCUCGUCAGUGGAUGUUGCUGUAUUUUGCCUUUCCUUGAUGGGCACAAACUUCCCAAGUUACCUUGAGGAGGCUCAUAGGGUGCUUAAGCCAAGUGGAUGGCUAUUGAUAGCGGAAGUCAAGAGCAGGUUUGACCCAAAUAAUGGUGGUGCAGAUCCUAAUAUAUUCUCUAAAUGUGUCCACAAGCUUGGAUUCAGUACAGUGUCCAAGGAUUUCUCAAAUAAGAUGUUUAUUCUUCUUAUAUUCCGGAAGAUGGAGGCGAAUACAUUGAAGAGCAACAUUCAGUGGCCAAAAUUGAAACCCUGUUUAUAUAAGCGACGAUCUGAAGUGAAUACGGGAAAUUGGAGCGACUACAUUUACGCAUUUAUGUGCCCUAGAAAAGAGUUUCUCAACUGGCAGCGCGCUUCUCCCUUCAACUGGCACUCUUGUUGACUUGUAAAUUGAUUGUGAGUUGGCCAUGACACCGUGGAAGUCUACCAAGUGAUGUUACUAGCAUCAUGAUCAAAUCUGCAAGAGGAGAAAAGGAGGGGCUUUAGCUGCUUGUCCUUAUUUGACAAUCAACUGCCGAGAUUUGGCGUAGUGGUAAAGCUGCUCAAUCUGUAUUUCAGGUGUAUUCAGUUCGUGAAGCAAGGUGUUUCAAACAUGACUGAGCCUACUGAAUGGCCAACUGAGCUGAGAGCUAGACUCUGCCUAUAUUUUCUUUUCUAGGCCAGGUAGUUGCUUUCAUCCUGUGUAAAGCCCCUAAGGCUAUACAUACCUUCAAGAUUAUAGCUUGAGUAGACUUUUUGUACAUUGGAGCUCGUGUGUCGCUUUUGUCAUUGUUUGCAGCCAACAAAAGCAAUACAUUCAAGUGUAAGAGAGACGAUGGGACCUGUUUGUAAGUUUGAACGAGCACAAC
RNA transcript from Nymphaea colorata (pocket water lily), 1599 nucleotides. It is a transcript of the gene named ribosomal RNA-processing protein 8, with no coding region annotated. NCBI's taxonomy places the organism in Eukaryota, Viridiplantae, Streptophyta, Magnoliopsida, Nymphaeales, Nymphaeaceae. The record is from RefSeq and is a predicted model, not a curated record. The transcript has 11 exons.